GUCCAAAAUUUUUCCAUUUCCCGCAAUUUAUUUGGUUCGCCGCUCAAAUCCCUAUCUCAAAACCCCAUCUCUCUCAAAUCCUCUCUCCGCUUCUCCCUCUUCCAUUCGCCGCCGCCCUCCCACCUCAGCGACGGACCCCUCCUCCUUCCCAGAUCCGUGCCGCCCGAACCCCCAGCGCCGCCUCCCCACGCCGCCGUCGCCACCUCCAGCCUCAUCACCACCCACCGCCGCUCCUCCUCCCUCCUCUCCGCCGCUGCCACCUCAGCCUCAACCCUCCGCCUCUCUCCUCUUCGCCACCACCCCGCCGUCCAGGUCCCCUUACGCCGUCAGCAACCCCUAAUUUCGCCGGUGAUAAGGCCCAGUUGAGCUUGCAGCUGUUGGUGUGUCUAUUGCAGUAUUCAACCAAGUAUCAAGGAUUGCAAUAUUUCCACUUGUUAGCGUCACAACCUCCUUCAUUGCUGAGGACGAUGCUACUUCAAAAAUGGCUACUGAGUUUGAAAGUGGAGAUUCAGAAAGGUGUCCUUCUGAAAACAGUGAAUUAAAAGAAUUAAUUCCGACGAAUGAUUCCUUUUGGGGGAACUGGCAAAAGUGGAUCCAUCCACUAUGAACAAUGACCAGAAGCUGGCAUUUUGGAUCAAUUUGUAUAAUUCAUUGAUAAUGCAUGCCUACCUAGCAUAUGGAGUUCCAAGAAAUGGCAUCAAGUUCUUUGCUCUAAUGCAAAAGGUAUCUUAUACUAUAAGAGGUCAAUCAUUCAGUCCAGCCGACAUUGAAUUUGUCAUUCUAAAGAUGAAACCUCCACCCCAUCGUCCACAAAUAGCUUUGGCUUUGGCUAUUCAUACCUUUAAAAUAUCAGAGGAGCACAGAAUAUACUCAAUUGACGCCCCCAGAGCCACUUUUAGUGUUUGCCCUCAGCUCCGGGAUGUUUUCCUCUCCACAGAGAGCACAUGAACAAUUAAAACUAUUCCCAAUUGUUUUUUAGUGAGGCUGCUAGUGUGAUCUGGUUAUCUGAACACUAGAAGGCUAGCCGCCAGAGCCUAAAUAAAGAUAAAUGGUGAAAAGGAUUAGAGCAGAAACCCAUAAGUUUUUGGAUAACUGCUUUGUUGUUAGUGUUGUCGCGGCCGCCGCCAUUAUAGGAUCAACAUUCAAAUGCUAAAGAAUCUGACAUGGCAUCCAGGAAAUAAUCAAAGAACUGAUGGAAAGGCUACCACACAUGAAAGAGCUUAUGGAUAUGUAUUGUGGCCCUGAUAGAGUGACUGCAAAGCAACAAAUGCAGGAGUUAGACAGAGUCGCAAAAACUCUACCAGAGAAUAUACCUUCAUCUGUGAAGAGGUUCACUGAUCGUGCCGUUCUUUCACUUCAAGUUUUCUUUUUUUUUCAACAUAGUUUAGUUUACUGUAAAUCUUAUAAUGUGUCAUUCUCUGAAAUGGAAAACACUGAAUAUGACAAACUAGAAUAUUUAAACAGGCCUUUGAGUGUUGACUUGGAAAUGGAAAUGAAUGUAAUUAUUUUGCAAUUGGAGCAAAUUCCUUGUUUAUCAUAAUAUGCAACUUGUUUGGAGUAUAAUUUGAUGUUUGGUUUCUUUGUUGA
RNA transcript from Asparagus officinalis (garden asparagus), 1587 nucleotides. RefSeq lists it as uncharacterized. NCBI's taxonomy places the organism in Eukaryota, Viridiplantae, Streptophyta, Magnoliopsida, Asparagales, Asparagaceae. The record is from RefSeq and is a predicted model, not a curated record. The transcript has 8 exons.